AGUAAAGCCUAGAAGUGGCCAAUUUGAUUCAAAAAAGUAUGAGAAUUCAAAUUAGAGAUUGAGAAUUCGAAUGGACACAAAAGAUUUGCCAAAACAUGAAUCAAAAAAACUGAACCGAUUCAACAAUACAUGUUUGUCCCGUGAGCUAAGAUUGGCCAGAGCAAAGGUUAGAGGUGGCCAAUUUGAUUGGAAAAAGUAUGAGAAUUCAAAUUAGAGAUUGAAGAUUCGAAUGGACACAAAAGAUCUGUCAAAAAAAAAAAAAAACUGAACCGAUUCAAUAAUAAAUGUCUGUAUCGUGAGCUAGGGUUGGCUACAUAAAAGGCUAGGAGUGUCCAAUUUGAUUGGAAAAAGUAUGAGAAUUCAAAUUAGAGAUUGAGGAUUCGAAUGGGCACAAAAGAUAUGCUAAAACAUGAAUCAAAAAAUUUGAACCGAUUCAAC
This 438-nucleotide long non-coding RNA is filed under the name Prunus persica (peach). RNAcentral describes it as "long non-coding RNA (PPER_LNC008613)". The record is from RNAcentral. Lineage: Eukaryota; Viridiplantae; Streptophyta; Magnoliopsida; Rosales; Rosaceae.